This 70-nucleotide transfer RNA is filed under the name Polypedates megacephalus (Hong Kong whipping frog). RNAcentral describes it as "tRNA-Val". Lineage: Eukaryota; Metazoa; Chordata; Amphibia; Anura; Rhacophoridae. The record is from RNAcentral.
CAAAAUGUAGCUUAACAAAAGUCCCCCCGCUUACACCGGGAAAAUGUCCGUGCAACCCAGACCAUUUUGA